UGCGGAUUGGAGAAGUGGUCUAUCUCGGCUGCCUCAUAAGCAGAAGAUCAAAGGUUCGAAUCCUUUAUCCGCAA
This 74-nucleotide transfer RNA is filed under the name Pseudomonadota bacterium. Its description in RNAcentral is "Proteobacteria bacterium tRNA-Met". It matches the Rfam family "tRNA". From Rfam's summary of the family: Transfer RNA (tRNA) molecules are approximately 80 nucleotides in length. Lineage: Bacteria; Pseudomonadati; Pseudomonadota. The record is from RNAcentral.